UUUUAUUUGAGAGUUUGAUCCUGGCUCAGGAUGAACGCUGGCGGCGUGCCUAACACAUGCAAGUUGAGCGAUUUACUUCGGUAAAGAGCGGCGGACGGGUGAGUAACGCGUGGGUAACCUACCCUGUACACACGGAUAACAUCCCGAAAGGUAUGCUAAUACGGGAUAAUAUAUUUGAGAGGCAUCUCUUAAAUAUCAAAGGUGAGCCAGUACAGGAUGGACCCGCGUCUGAUUAGCUAGUUGGUAAGGUAACGGCUUACCAAGGCGACGAUCAGUAGCCGACCUGAGAGGGUGAUCGGCCACAUUGG
This 308-nucleotide ribosomal RNA is filed under the name Clostridioides difficile. Its description in RNAcentral is "partial 16S ribosomal RNA". It matches the Rfam family "Bacterial small subunit ribosomal RNA", at positions 1 to 316 of the family's 1533-position model. Lineage: Bacteria; Bacillati; Bacillota; Clostridia; Peptostreptococcales; Peptostreptococcaceae. The record is from RNAcentral.